This 346-nucleotide RNase P RNA is filed under the name Brevundimonas diminuta. Its description in RNAcentral is "RNase P RNA component class A". It matches the Rfam family "Bacterial RNase P class A". Rfam says of the family: Ribonuclease P (RNase P) is a ubiquitous endoribonuclease, found in archaea, bacteria and eukarya as well as chloroplasts and mitochondria. Its best characterised activity is the generation of mature 5'-ends of tRNAs by cleaving the 5'-leader elements of precursor-tRNAs. Lineage: Bacteria; Pseudomonadati; Pseudomonadota; Alphaproteobacteria; Caulobacterales; Caulobacteraceae. The record is from RNAcentral.
CCAGACGGUCGGGCGGUCGCGGCGGGGGCUUGCUCCUGUCGAGGAAAGUCCGGGCUCCACGGUGAAAAGGCGGCGGGUAACGCCCGCCCGGGGUGACCCGAGGGAUAGCGCCACAGAAAGCAAACCGCCUGGGCUUCGGCUCAGGGAAGGGUGAAAGGGUGGGGUAAGAGCCCACCGCGNNUGGAGCAAGACCAAAUAGGGACGUCGCGCGGGGCUCGCUCCGCAGGGCUCACCGCCCCAGGCGUCCGGGUAGGUCGCGAGAGCCGUCCAGCAAUGGGCGGCCCAGAGGAAUGAUCGUCGCCGCUUUCGGGCGGAACAGAACCCGGCUUACAGGCCGUCUGGUUUU